GAUGAACGCUGGCGGCGUGCUUAACACAUGCAAGUCGAACGGGAAACCUUUUAAUGAAGCUUCGGCAGAUUUAGCUGGUUUCUAGUGGCGGACGGGUGAGUAACGCGUGGGUAACCUGCCUUAUACAGGGGGAUAACAGUCAGAAAUGACUGCUAAUACCGCAUAAGCGCACAGGACCGCAUGGUCCGGUGUGAAAAACUCCGGUGGUAUAAGAUGGACCCGCGUUGGAUUAGCUUGUUGGUGGGGUAACGGCUCACCAAGGCGACGAACCAUAGCCGGACUGAGAGGGUGACCGGACACAUUGGGACUGAGACACGGCCCAGACUCCUACGGGAGGCAGCAGUGGGGAAUAUUGCACAAUGGGGGAAACCCUGAUGCAGCGACGCCGCGUGAAGGAAGAAGUAUCUCGGUAUGUAAACUUCUAUCAGCAGGGAAGAUAGUGACGGUACCUGACUAAGAAGCCCCGGCUAACUACGU
Molecule: ribosomal RNA, 477 nt
Filed under: uncultured bacterium
Lineage: Bacteria
Description: partial 16S ribosomal RNA
Rfam family: Bacterial small subunit ribosomal RNA
Source: RNAcentral